AGUUCACGUACGAGGGCGACGCGACGUGCGCCGCGGAUGGCAUGUGCCAGGUGAAGUGCCCCGUCGGCAUCAACACCGGCGAGCUCGUCAAGUCGAUCCGCGAGCGCGACCUGAAGAAGCAGUCCACGGCGACGUCGGGCGCCAACGCGCUCGCGAGGAACUUUGCCACGUUCCAGAGCGUCGUGCCCACGUUCCUGAACCUCGUGUCCGCCGCGCACGGCGUCCUCGGCGGCGGCGUGCUGAAGAGCGUCUCCGGCGCGUUGAACAAGGUUUCCGGGAACUUGAUCCCGGUGUGGAACGAGCACAUGCCCACGGGCGCGCCGUCGCUGCCGGCGCCGAACAUGCCGUCGUCGAGCGCGACGCAGCGCGCGGGGGUCCCUCGCAAGGUUGUCUACCUCCCAUCCUGCGUCACGAGGAUGAUGGGCCCGGCGAAGGGCGACUCUGCGUCCAUCGGCGGCGUCCCGGACGCGAUGAUGAGCAUCCUGAAAAAGGCGGAUUACGAGGUUGUGUACCCGGAGUCGCUCUCGUCGCAGUGCUGCGGCAUGCUCUUCAACUCCAGGGGGUUCAAAGCCACCGCCAGCGGCAAGGGCGAUGAC
RNAcentral lists this long non-coding RNA (596 nucleotides) under Micromonas pusilla. RNAcentral describes it as "long non-coding RNA (MPUS_LNC000155)". Lineage: Eukaryota; Viridiplantae; Chlorophyta; Mamiellophyceae; Mamiellales; Mamiellaceae. The record is from RNAcentral.